RNAcentral lists this long non-coding RNA (664 nucleotides) under Numida meleagris (helmeted guineafowl). RNAcentral's name for it is "lncRNA (ENSNMEG00000001137.1)". The record is from RNAcentral. Lineage: Eukaryota; Metazoa; Chordata; Aves; Galliformes; Numididae.
CAGAUAUGGAUUACUGCUAUGGGGCUGCCCCACAGAUACGGAUCAGCGCUAUGGGGCUGCCCCACAGAUAUGGAACAGCGCUAUGGGGCUGCCCCACAGAUAUGGAUCAGCGCUAUGGGGCUGCCCCACGGCGAUGGGGCACGGCUGUAUCGGUGCAUGGCAAUAAAAAGGCUCUGCAUGGACUCCCCCGUCCCGGACCCCCAAGUGUGGGGCACAAAGCAGGACCCCAAAUGUGGGGCAGAAAGUGGGACCCCCAAGUGUGGGACCCCCAAGUGUGGGGCACAAAGCGGGACCCCCAAACGUGGGACCCCCAAGUGUGGGGCACAGAGCGGGACCCCCAAAUAUGGGACCCCCAAGUGUGCGACCCCCAAGUGUGGGGCACAAAUUGGGACCCCCAAGUGUGCGACCCCCAAGUGUGGGGCACAGAGCGGGACCCUCAAACGUGGGACCCCCAAGUGUGGGGCACAGAGCGGGACCCCCAAAUAUGGGACCUCCAAGUGUGCGACCCCCAAGUGUGGGGCACAAAGCGGGACCCCCAAAUGUGGGACCCCCAAGUGUGGGGCACAGAGCGGGACCCCCAAACGUGGGACCCCCAAGUGUGUGACCCCCAAGUGUGGGGCACAGAGUGGGACCCCCAAAUGUGGGACCCCCAAGUGUGGGGCAC